GAUACUGAGAAGAGAAAGAAGGCAGUUUCAAACUGGGAAAAACAAGGAUGGCCUUCAAGAAAACAAGAACAACAUCAUAAAACAACAACAACAAAAAAUCAACAUGGAGAAUGUACUUUUCUAUUGAACACGCAACUGCAGAUGGAGAAUAUCUCUAAUGUAUUAUAAAAGGGACACAGCAUGAGUUUACCCUCUCUCAGACAAUUGAACAGGAAUACUCAGCAAAGAUUUUCAAGAGUCCAUAACAACGCAAUGAGGAGAAGGCCUACUGCCGACUUGAAUAGCUUAUGUGGCUUCAGACGACAUUGUAGGGAGAUAUUUCUGACAGAUGAAACUGGAUUAUGGCUGCCUCAACCUAUGGAUCCAUCCAGAAUUAACUUAGCUCAUCUGGCUGGCCAGGAAGAGGAAGAGACUCCAGAGAAAAGACCAUAGGAGGACACAGCAAGAAGGCGGCCUUCUGCAAGUCAAGAGAGAGUCCUCAGGAGAAACCAACCCUUCCGGCACCUUGAUGUUGGACUUCCAGCCCCCAGAACUGUGAGGAAAUAAAUUUCUGUUGUUUAAGUCACCCAGUCUGUGGUAUUUUGUUAUGGCAGCCCUGGCAGACUAAUACAGAGAACCAUAGAGAAUUGUCUCUGGACAGUUCUGUCCCUGCCAUCAGGUAAUUUCCUCCAUGUGCAUUGAUCUAUACUUAGAAGAUGUGGGGACCCUCUGCAGAUCUCUGGAGUUCUGUCUUUGUUCAGCUCUUUCCUCUUUGAUAUACUGCCCUGAAAACUCUAGUUGCCUUGGUAUCCCCAGAUUCUAGCUCCAUCUCCUCAACUCAGGGUGACCUCCAGGGUCUGCCUAGGUUCAUCCAUCCCUGUGCUAGGGCCUCGAAUCUCUCUCUAAACAGUGAACUCGUAUAAUCAUAGGCUCACCCCAUUGAUUUUCCUUAUCUUGGGGAUCAUUGUCCUGUGC
Molecule: long non-coding RNA, 954 nt
Organism: Diceros bicornis minor
Lineage: Eukaryota; Metazoa; Chordata; Mammalia; Perissodactyla; Rhinocerotidae
Exons: 4
Source: RefSeq, a predicted model, not a curated record